This 301-nucleotide ribosomal RNA is filed under the name uncultured bacterium. RNAcentral describes it as "partial 16S ribosomal RNA". It matches the Rfam family "Bacterial small subunit ribosomal RNA", at positions 509 to 807 of the family's 1533-position model. The record is from RNAcentral.
CAGUAGCCGCGGGAAUACGAAGGGGGCUAGCGUUGCUCGGAACUACUGGGCGUAAAGGGCGCGUAGGCGGACAGUUCAGUCGAGGGUGAAAACCCGGGGCUCAACCUCGGAAUUGCCUUCGAUACUGGCUGUCUUGAGUAUGAGAGAGGUGUGUGGAACUCCGAGUGUAGAGGUGAAAUUCGUAGAUAUUCGGAAGAACACCAGUGGCGAAGGCGACACACUGGCUCAUUACUGACGCUGAGGCGCGAAAGCGUGGGGAGCAAACAGGAUUAGAUACCCGAGUAGUCCCUGUCUCUUAUAC